GCCCUCGUAGCUCAGUGGAUAGAGCACGGCUCUCCUAAAGCCGGUGUCGUAGGUUCGAUUCCUAUCGGGGGCA
Molecule: transfer RNA, 73 nt
Filed under: Arcanobacterium haemolyticum
Lineage: Bacteria; Bacillati; Actinomycetota; Actinomycetes; Actinomycetales; Actinomycetaceae
Also listed under: 9 other names
Description: tRNA-Arg
Rfam family: tRNA
About the family: Transfer RNA (tRNA) molecules are approximately 80 nucleotides in length.
Source: RNAcentral